Molecule: long non-coding RNA, 492 nt
Organism: Trematomus bernacchii (emerald rockcod)
Lineage: Eukaryota; Metazoa; Chordata; Actinopteri; Perciformes; Nototheniidae
Exons: 2
Source: RefSeq, a predicted model, not a curated record
AGAGAGUUGGAGAUGUCGCUGUCAGACGGUACCUCGGACGACGAAAUGCCCUUAAGUUUACCCGCAGAGGGCAGCGGGCACAGCGGGAGCAUCCGAAAGGGAUGUGAUCCCUUCGCCCAGACUCUCAGGAAACGGGUAGAGACACACAUUACAGUUAGUAAGAACUGAUUACCAGUCUUGGUCUUCGGCGGUUGAUCAACACAGUUCUCAAUAACAUGUUCAAAGGGCUCACCAAAAGCCGGAAAAGGACGCAACUAAAUAUUAUGCCAUUUUGACCCUUGUGUAUACUGCAUUACGGUAUUUGUUGACCACAGCAUAGUUUUUACGCUAUUAGUUAACAUUGAUUUCUCUAGCCCUCAAUUAUACGCUUUUGCAAAUUACAAGUGUCUGUGAUUCCAGUUUAAAAGACGGGACUGACGAGACCACCAUUAUUGUUUCAUACAGUAAAAUACUGUGAAUAAAUGGUGACUCAGUCGCUGCCUGAUUUCUGUU